This 443-nucleotide ribosomal RNA is filed under the name uncultured bacterium. RNAcentral describes it as "partial 16S ribosomal RNA". It matches the Rfam family "Bacterial small subunit ribosomal RNA", at positions 338 to 795 of the family's 1533-position model. The record is from RNAcentral.
CCUACGGGAGGCUGCAGUGGGGAAUAUUGGGCAAUGGGCGCAAGCCUGACCCAGCAACGCCGCGUGAAGGAAGAAGGCUUUCGGGUUGUAAACUUCUUUUGUCAGGGACGAAGCAAGUGACGGUACCUGACGAAUAAGCCACGGCUAACUACGUGCCAGCAGCCGCGGCAAUACGUAGGUGGCAAGCGUUAUCCGGAUUUACUGGGUGUAAAGGGCGGGUAGGCGGGGAAGCAAGUCAGAUGUGAAAACCACGGGCUCAACCUGUGGCCUGCAUUUGAAACUGGUUUUCUUGAGUGCUGGAGAGGCAAGCGGAAUUCCGUGUGUAGCGGUGAAAUGCGUAGAUAUACGGAGGAACACCAGUGGCGAAGGCGGAUUGCUGGACAGUAACUGACGCUGAGGCGCGAAAGCGUGGGGAGCGAACAGGAUUAGAUACCCGGGUAGUC